UAACUCUAUUUGUUGUGAUACCGUGGAUUUUUAUAUUUUUUUUAUGUUAUUUUUUGUAAAAUAUUUUGAUUUGUUUAUUUUUUUUUUUGGUAUCAAAAAUUUGUUUUUUGAACUGGAUUAGUACCCAGGUAAUCAAAAUUUAUUAAUUCGGGAGUAAAGUUUUGUUUAAACCGAAAAAAUAUUGACUGACUUUAGAUUUUUCUUUGGAAUAUGUGAUUUUGUUGGAGAGCCCUCUUUUUUGGUAAAUUUUGUUGGCACAUGUAUGAUUGUUUAGUUUUUAUUUUAUUUUGUAAUGCUUUUUUUGUUUUGGCAUUUAAAACAGAUAUAUAUUUGGUUUAUAAAUUUAUUUUUCAUGUGUUACUAUUAUAAAUUUUUUUUGGAUUAAUUUUUUAUUUUUUUUUGAAAUUGGAAAAGAAAGUAAUUUUUUCUUCAUGUUUUAAUGAAUUUAAUAAAUAAGGUGGUACAAACCAUCCGUCAAUG
RNAcentral lists this ribosomal RNA (480 nucleotides) under Onchocerca lupi. RNAcentral's name for it is "partial 12S ribosomal RNA". Lineage: Eukaryota; Metazoa; Nematoda; Chromadorea; Rhabditida; Onchocercidae. The record is from RNAcentral.